GACGAACGCUGGCGGCGUGCCUAAUACAUGCAAGUAGAACGCUGAAGCGAGGAGCUUGCUCUUCUUGGAUGAGUUGCGAACGGGUGAGUAACGCGUAGGUAACCUGCCUUGUAGCGGGGGAUAACUAUUGGAAACGAUAGCUAAUACCGCAUAACAAUGGAUGACACAUGUCAUUUAUUUGAAAGGGGCAAUUGCUCCACUACAAGAUGGACCUGCGUUGUAUUAGCUAGUAGGCGAGGUAAUGGCUCACCUAGGCGACGAUACAUAGCCGACCUGAGAGGGUGAUCGGCCACACUGGGACUGAGACACGGCCCAGACUCCUACGGGAGGCAGCAGUAGGGAAUCUUCGGCAAUGGGGGCAACCCUGACCGAGCAACGCCGCGUGAGUGAAGAAGGUUUUCGGAUCGUAAAGCUCUGUUGUAAGUCAAGAACGGGUGUGAGAGUGGAAAGUUCACACUGUGACGGUAGCUUACCAGAAAGGGACGGCUAACUACGUG
This 497-nucleotide ribosomal RNA is filed under the name uncultured bacterium. Its description in RNAcentral is "partial 16S ribosomal RNA". It matches the Rfam family "Bacterial small subunit ribosomal RNA", at positions 28 to 507 of the family's 1533-position model. The record is from RNAcentral.